This 61-nucleotide transfer RNA is filed under the name bovine gut metagenome. It matches the Rfam family "tRNA", at positions 6 to 65 of the family's 71-position model. From Rfam's summary of the family: Transfer RNA (tRNA) molecules are approximately 80 nucleotides in length. Their secondary structure includes four short double-helical elements and three loops (D, anti-codon, and T loops). The record is from RNAcentral.
CGUGGCGCAGCGGUAGCGCGGCGGACUGUUAAUCCGUGUGUCGCUGGUUCAAAUCCAGCCG